Molecule: transfer RNA, 58 nt
Filed under: Cricetulus griseus (Chinese hamster)
Lineage: Eukaryota; Metazoa; Chordata; Mammalia; Rodentia; Cricetidae
Rfam family: tRNA
About the family: Transfer RNA (tRNA) molecules are approximately 80 nucleotides in length. Their secondary structure includes four short double-helical elements and three loops (D, anti-codon, and T loops).
Source: Rfam by way of RNAcentral
UGGCUCAGUGAUUAAGAGCACUGGCUGCUCUACCAGAGGAUCUGGGUUCGAUUCCCAG